RNAcentral lists this ribosomal RNA (515 nucleotides) under uncultured bacterium. RNAcentral's name for it is "partial 16S ribosomal RNA". It matches the Rfam family "Bacterial small subunit ribosomal RNA", at positions 28 to 523 of the family's 1533-position model. The record is from RNAcentral.
GACGAACGCUGGCGGCGUGCCUAAUGCAUGCAAGUCGAGCGAUGAUUAAAGAUAGCUUGCUCUUUUUAUGAAGAGCGGCGAACGGGUGAGUAACGCGUGGGAAAUCUGCCGAGUAGCGGGGGACAACGUUUGGAAACGAACGCUAAUACCGCAUAACAAUGAGAAUCGCAUGAUUCUUAUUUGAAAGAAGCAAUUGCUUCACUACUUGAUGAUCCCGCGUUGUAUUAGCUAGUUGGUAGUGUAAAGGACUACCAAGGCGAUGAUACAUAGCCGACCUGAGAGGGUGAUCGGCCACACUGGGACUGAGACACGGCCCGGACUCCUACGGGAGGCAGCAGUAGGGAAUCUUCGGCAAUGGGGGCAACCCUGACCGAGCAACGCCGCGUGAGUGAAGAAGGUUUUCGGAUCGUAAAACUCUGUUGUUAGAGAAGAACGUUAAGUAGAGUGGAAAAUUACUUAAGUGACGGUAUCUAACCAGAAAGGGACGGCUAACUACGUGCCAGCAGCCGCAGUAA